AGUGGGACCCGAAACUCGAACCCGGGUCCUUCAGAGUGGAAAGCCGAAGCGUUUCCAGGCGGCCAAUCCGGAGUACAAGAUGGUCGUUCGUAUAUGAAGGCGAAAGAUCGCCUAACGAAAACCGGACAGACGUACGCCGAAGUGGCGGAACAGCCACCAUAAUCGUUGAUCUCCGACCAACGGGUGGAAAUUCGUGACCUCCAUUGACUCGCCAACAUAAUGAAAUCUUAACAGAGUCAGGCGCGCGCCAGUUCGCGUCAAUGCCACCAUCUCGGGACAAUACAGUUCUUCCCCGUCUAUCUGCACUAGAUAAAGCGACCUUUGACCUUAGACGAGAGCUCCAGCGGGUCUCAGACCUAAUAAAGUCAUUCUUUCGAGAAACUGCGGAAAACAGCCGGCCCUGGGGGUCGAGUCUGCACUACUUUCGAAUAGGCGAAGAUUCGGUAAAAGCCGUGUCACGUGGUACGCGCUGACGUCAAAGUCGGUACCGAAUAGAAAAGUGCGAGUCUGGUCUCAAAUUUUUCGAAUGCGAAAGUAACGAAGUUGCGUUUUGAAUGAA
Molecule: long non-coding RNA, 559 nt
Filed under: Androctonus crassicauda
Lineage: Eukaryota; Metazoa; Arthropoda; Arachnida; Scorpiones; Buthidae
Source: RNAcentral